Molecule: long non-coding RNA, 383 nt
Organism: Helianthus annuus (common sunflower)
Lineage: Eukaryota; Viridiplantae; Streptophyta; Magnoliopsida; Asterales; Asteraceae
Exons: 3
Source: RefSeq, a predicted model, not a curated record
UUGAGAAGUUUAAAAAGAAGCUUGCUAAAGUAGUUGAUGAUCAGAUCGAUGGACAUGAUGGUGCAGUUUCGGCUUCGUGAGUUUUGAUUCGGCAUCGGGAUGCAAGUGAUCGUGGGUGGCUUUAUUGUUAAUAAAGCUUAACUGAUUUGGAGAUAAUGGAUAGACGUAAAAACAUUAAUUGCUCUUCCAAGAAUCUAAGUGAUGGCCGUAGCCAGAAGUUCUACAUGAGUUAGAGAAACAGUAAAUGUUGUUUGUCGGGGGCACCUUAAUCCUUAAUAAAAGUAAAAAAAAAAUAUAAUGUUUUAUCCUUCUAUGCAUUUUAACUAUAUUUUCACUUUGUCAAUAAGUAAUUUAUGUAAUAAAUAUAUGUCACUUUAUUGGUA